Oncorhynchus masou masou (cherry salmon) is the source of this 946-nucleotide long non-coding RNA. RefSeq lists it as uncharacterized. The record is from RefSeq and is a predicted model, not a curated record. The transcript has 2 exons. NCBI's taxonomy places the organism in Eukaryota, Metazoa, Chordata, Actinopteri, Salmoniformes, Salmonidae.
UGGUGGCGAGUGUAUACCCAAAAGGGAGCCCCAUUACCCCAUGCAUCACCUACCUCGAACUAAUCUCAAAACUACACCCUUUCCGGAGAAGCAGGGCUCUCUUCCGCAUGAUGCCCGUUUUAUCCCGGCCGAGUCAGUUGGUUGGCGACGGGAGCGAGCUGGUCGGGGGAAAGGAAGGAGAGAGGCAGAAGAAAGGCUGCCAAAAAAAUACAAAUAAAAUACGAAUCUCGCCUCCGCUGGAAAAAGGAAAGUGAGCGGCAGACUUUCCUCUGCAAACAAAGACGGCACCAAAAGCUUAUGAGUGCAGCAUGGUUAGUGGGUUGCUCCUCGCCUGAACUCCAUACGAUAUAAAUUAGAUUCCGUUGGUCUCUCGGUUCAAGAGCGAGUUACCGUUACUCAAUUGGUAACCCUGAAUAGAUUCGAGUCCCGGGAAAACAUAACAGUUUGAAGUCGAGUCCCCCGUCCGUCACUAGAGCGCUGUACACUGGCUGUAGGAUUCUACACCACUCCCUUGACGGUUAAAGAAGUACCUGAGCAGUCCUAUAUCACGAAGCACCGCCGCAACGCGUUAUAUUUGAUCACGAACACUGCAGCAGAAGCGAACUUCUUCCUCCAGUACUAUUUUGUCCGCCCGAGGCUACAAUACGUCGAGUUUCCCGGGGAAGCUGUGAAGAAAGCAUGAUUGUGUUUAUUCGUCUGUUAUUAUUAAAUAAUGUGAAACAAUGUUAUUUAUGUUUACUAUUGCGCGAUUGUGUCCAUGAGUAUGUUAUUAAACAAUGUGAAACAAUGUAUGUUUACUGCUUUUUAUUAAAUCAGUAUGGAUGUAAAUAUUGUAAAUAUAUUUGUUAAUAUGAGCAGAAUAUUGUAUAGCCUAUAUACAUUUGUUCAUAUGGGCUGAUUGUUGUAUUUGUUCGUAUGGUUAUAUAAAGUCUGAAGUUUAAAAACA